This 1687-nucleotide long non-coding RNA is filed under the name Prunus persica (peach). RNAcentral describes it as "long non-coding RNA (PPER_LNC001847)". The record is from RNAcentral. Lineage: Eukaryota; Viridiplantae; Streptophyta; Magnoliopsida; Rosales; Rosaceae.
GAACAUGAUGGUUUGAGAAAAAAGUCUAACUAGGGUUGCAGGAACAUAUAUUGGGGGUGUAGUGAGCAAAUUUAAAUACUUUUUGUCCUUAAUGGUAAUUAUGUACAAGGGUAAAAUAGGUUGUUCAUGUUUAAAAUUAGUAUGAGGUGCAAAGAGCAAAUAAUUGGGUGCCAAUAAAAUCACCCUUUUUAUUUUCCUAUCCACUUUAUAAUUUGUAAAUUAAAUAAGUUUAUUCUACUAAACAAUAAAAAAUAAAAAAAAAAGUUAAAUAGUAUGUAUAAAAAUUAAUGAUCCAUAUACUAUUACGAAUCAAUACUCAAAUGUCAUGUGAUUGCCCCUGAAUCAAUGAUCUAUAUACUAUUAAGAGGAGAUGUAGAAGGUUUAGAAGUAUUUGAGACACAAUAUGUGGUACAUGCAGACGCCAUAGAAGACAGGCAAAAGCGAAUUAUUUGAAACUGCUAGAACUUAUAUGAGUAGUCUUAAAGUUGAUGAGACAAGUUUGCCACUACUAAGAGUAUUUUCACUCAUUUGCCAUAGCAAAGGCAAGGGAAGGCAAAGGCUAUUGCUAUUCACAUGAAUAGUACCUGCCCUAGCAAUUUUUUUGUUGGUUUUCCACUCAUUGUCAUGGCAACCCAAGGGCAACCACUAUUCACAUGAGAUAUGAGGAGAGGAAUUUGUAUAGAGUUUUGGUGUGAGAAGUGAAGAAUAUGGCUAGGUAUUUAUUUAAAAAAAAAUCUAAAAUUUUGGUUUUUUUUUUUUCCUUCAAUUUUUUUGUUAUUUAAAUUAGCUACUGACAUCACAAUGACUUUAACAUUAGGUUAGCUUGCCCAGGCAAGUCUUACCUUUGGGCGUGCCCAGGUUGGUGGAGCUCAUCUCUUGCCCUAACAAGAAUGGGGUACUGGAAACACGAAUAGGGGCCUGGGGGCCUCUUACUGGGACUAGCGCCUCCUGCUAGAAAUACUCUAACAUGGGAAGGAUCCCCUAAUAUGAAUAUCCAAUCAAGUUAGAACAAUGGUUUUUAGAGUGUCGAGCACCCCACAAUGAGUGCAUUUUCGUUCAAAGCAUGUUGUUGAGUCCUUACUUUGAAAAGAGACAUCAAGAGAGUUUUGUGGUCUUUGGGUCGCUAAGCCACCAUGAUCGGUGGUUCUUGCAAAUAUGUAGAACCAUUCAUGGUCAUUCUCUAAUGGGCAUGUUGACGAACAUAUGCAAAAUUGAUAUCAAGAUCCAAUUUAGGGUCUUUGCACAAGAUUUCACCACAAACCUAGUCAAACUUGGGACGAAUAAUGACCUAGGUGGGAUUCAAGAAGAAGAUAACAUUGAUGACAUGAAACAAGUAACUUGCGAGCCAAGUUGAAGCUCCUUACUUGGUUAAGGUGGAGGAGGAGCGUCGUGCUGUAAAAGGUGAAUUCGAUGAAUUGUUAGCCACUGGAGACAACGGUCCCUAGAAUUUUGGCUUCAGAUGUGAGAUAAAAAUUUUAGAUUCUUCCCCACCAAAAGGCUUCGAUUAGAAAGAAGUGUUUGCCCUAAAACUUGACAUGAGUAAAGCUUAUGUCCACAUGGAGUGGACAUUUUUGGAGAAGAUGAUGAUGGUGCUUGGCUUCCCUAUGCCGUAAAUUUGUCAAUGGAUUAGGUUUUGAUUCGAUUCUGAUCAAAAUCCAAUGAAAUUAAUAGGCUUUGCUUCAUCUUC